RNAcentral lists this ribosomal RNA (518 nucleotides) under uncultured Glomus. Its description in RNAcentral is "SSU rRNA". It matches the Rfam family "Eukaryotic small subunit ribosomal RNA", at positions 569 to 1089 of the family's 1831-position model. The record is from RNAcentral. Lineage: Eukaryota; Fungi; Glomeromycota; Glomeromycetes; Glomerales; Glomeraceae.
AGCAGCCGCGGUAAUUCCAGCUCCAAUAGCGUAUAUUAAAGUUGCUGCAGUUAAAAAGCUCGUAGUUGAAUUUCGGGACCAAUAUGUCGGUCGUGCCUCGGUACGUACUGGCAUCGUUGGUUUCUCCCUUCUGACGAACCAUGAUGUCAUUUAUUUGGUGUCGUGGGGAAUCAGGACUGUUACUUUAGAAAAAAUUAGAGUGUUUAAAGCAGGCUCACGCUUGAAUACAUUAGCAUGGAAUAAUGAAAUAGGACGUUUGAUUCUAUUUUGUUGGUUUCUAGGAUCGACGUAAUGAUUAAUAGGGAUAGUUGGGGGCAUUAGUAUUCAAUUGUCAGAGGUGAAAUUCUUGGAUUUAUUGAAGACUAACUACUGCGAAAGCAUUUGCCAAGGAUGUUUUCAUUAAUCAAGAACGAAAGUUAGGGGAUCGAAGACGAUCAGAUACCGUCGUAGUCUUAACCAUAAACUAUAGCCGACUAGGGAUCGGAUGAUGUAAUUUUUAAUGACUCAUUCGGCGUCCG